ACUACCAAAGUAAACAUUUUUUUCCUCAUUUCUGACAGCCCACAUGCAGUCACACACAAACUAUCAUCUCCAGGAUGUCCGUCGAUGGCAGCGAGAUGAGCCCUAAAACUCACAUUAACGGCAGAGCAUGUCCUCCAGAGUUACCCUGGAUCCUUUGGCUGCUUCUUUGUAUAAUGCUCUCCUUGUGUCACGCCUGUCAGUUAAAAUCAACGGCCAAGUUUUGAAAAGACUGGAAGACGUCAUCAAGGAAGGGUGAAAGGGAGGAGAAGGAAGGGUGGACCAGGGGUCG
This is a long non-coding RNA of Cyprinodon variegatus (sheepshead minnow), 289 nucleotides long. RefSeq lists it as uncharacterized. The transcript has 3 exons. The record is from RefSeq and is a predicted model, not a curated record. NCBI's taxonomy places the organism in Eukaryota, Metazoa, Chordata, Actinopteri, Cyprinodontiformes, Cyprinodontidae.